This 72-nucleotide transfer RNA is filed under the name Melampsora larici-populina 98AG31. Its description in RNAcentral is "tRNA-Glu (TTC) (tRNA-Glu-TTC-1-1)". It matches the Rfam family "tRNA". From Rfam's summary of the family: Transfer RNA (tRNA) molecules are approximately 80 nucleotides in length. Their secondary structure includes four short double-helical elements and three loops (D, anti-codon, and T loops). RNAcentral also lists the same sequence under 2 other names. The record is from RNAcentral. Lineage: Eukaryota; Fungi; Basidiomycota; Pucciniomycetes; Pucciniales; Melampsoraceae.
UCCGAAUUGGUGUAUCGGCUAGCAUUUCCGCCUUUCACGCGGGAGAGACGGGUUCGAUUCCCGUAUUCGGAA